This 492-nucleotide ribosomal RNA is filed under the name uncultured bacterium. Its description in RNAcentral is "partial 16S ribosomal RNA". It matches the Rfam family "Bacterial small subunit ribosomal RNA", at positions 29 to 507 of the family's 1533-position model. The record is from RNAcentral.
AGUGAACGCUGGCGGUAGGCCUAACACAUGCAAGUCGAACGGCAGCACAGUAAGAGCUUGCUCUUACGGGUGGCGAGUGGCGGACGGGUGAGGAAUACAUCGGAAUCUACUUUUUCGUGGGGGAUAACGUAGGGAAACUUACGCUAAUACCGCAUACGACCUACGGGUGAAAGCAGGGGAUCUUCGGACCUUGCGCGAUUGAAUGAGCCGAUGUCGGAUUAGCUAGUUGGCGGGGGAAAGGCCCACCAAGGCGACGAUCCGUAGCUGGUCUGAGAGGAUGAUCAGCCACACUGGAACUGAGAAACGGUCCAGACUCCUACGGGAGGCAGCAGUGGGGAAUAUUGGACAAUGGGCGCAAACCUGAUCCAGCCAUACCGAGUGGGUGAAGAAGGCCUUCGGGUUGUAACGCCCUUUUGUUGGGAAAGAAAAGCAGCAGGUUAAUACCCCGCUGUUCUGACGGUACCCAAAGAAUAAGCACCGGCUAACUUCGUG